GGUUAAGCGACUAAGCGUACACGGUGGAUGCCCUGGCAGUCAGAGGCGAUGAAGGGCGUGCUAAUCUGCGAUAAGCGCCGGUAAGGUGAUAUGAACCGUUAUAACCGGCGAUACCCGAAUGGGGAAACCCAGUGUGACUCGUCACACUAUCAUUAACUGAAUCCAUAGGUUAAUGAGGCGAACCGGGGGAACUGAAACAUCUAAGUACCCCGAGGAAAAGAAAUCAACCGAGAUUCCCCCAGUAGCGGCGAGCGAACGGGGAGGAGCCCAGAGCCUGAAUCAGCAUGUGUGUUAGUGGAAGCGUCUGGAAAGGCGCGCGAUACAGGGUGACAGCCCCGUACACAAAAGCGCAUGUGCUGUGAGCUCGAUGAGUAGGGCGGGACACGUGGUAUCCUGUCUGAAUAUGGGGGGACCAUCCUCCAAGGCUAAAUACUCCUGACUGACCGAUAGUGAACCAGUACCGUGAGGGAAAGGCGAAAAGAACCCCGGCGAGGGGAGUGAAAAAGAACCUGAAACCGUGUACGUACAAGCAGUGGGAGCACCCUUUGGGGUGUGACUGCGUACCUUUUGUAUAAUGGGUCAGCGACUUAUAUUCUGUAGCAAGGUUAACCGAAUAGGGGAGCCGGAGGGAAACCGAGUCUUAAUUGGGCGUUAAGUUGCAGGGUAUAGACCCGAAACCCGGUGAUCUAGCCAUGGGCAGGUUGAAGGUUGGGUAACACUAACUGGAGGACCGAACCGACUAAUGUUGAAAAAUUAGCGGAUGACCUGUGGCUGGGGGUGAAAGGCCAAUCAAACCGGGAGAUAGCUGGUUCUCCCCGAAAGCUAUUUAGGUAGCGCCUCGUGAAUUCAUCUCCGGGGGUAGAGCACUGUUUCGGCUAGGGGGCCAUCCCGGCUUACCAACCCGAUGCAAACUGCGAAUACCGGAGAAUGUUAUCACGGGAGACACACGGCGGGUGCUAACGUCCGUCGUGAAGAGGGAAACAACCCAGACCGCCAGCUAAGGUCCCAAAGUCAUGGUUAAGUGGGAAACGAUGUGGGAAGGCCCAGACAGCCAGGAUGUUGGCUUAGAAGCAGCCAUCAUUUAAAGAAAGCGUAAUAGCUCACUGGUCGAGUCGGCCUGCGCGGAAGAUGUAACGGGGCUAAACCAUGCAC
This 1152-nucleotide ribosomal RNA is filed under the name Salmonella enterica subsp. enterica serovar Abony. RNAcentral describes it as "partial 23S ribosomal RNA". It matches the Rfam family "Bacterial large subunit ribosomal RNA", at positions 1 to 1194 of the family's 2925-position model. Lineage: Bacteria; Pseudomonadati; Pseudomonadota; Gammaproteobacteria; Enterobacterales; Enterobacteriaceae. The record is from RNAcentral.